CAGCACCUCAAGUGGUCAGGAUGAUUAUUGGGCCUAAAGCAUCCGUAGCCGGCGCUGUAAGUUUUCGGUUAAAUCUGUACGCUCAACGUACAGGCUGCCGGGAAUACUGCAGCGCUAGGGAGUGGGAGAGGUAGACGGUACUCGGUAGGAAGGGGUAAAAUCCUUUGAUCUAUUGAUGACCACCUGUGGCGAAGGCGGUCUACUAGAACACGUCCGACGGUGAGGGAUGAAAGCUGGGGGAGCAAUCCGGAUUAGAUACCCGAGUAGUCC
Molecule: ribosomal RNA, 270 nt
Filed under: uncultured archaeon
Lineage: Archaea
Description: partial 16S ribosomal RNA
Rfam family: Archaeal small subunit ribosomal RNA
Source: RNAcentral